Molecule: long non-coding RNA, 2106 nt
Organism: Neopelma chrysocephalum (saffron-crested tyrant-manakin)
Lineage: Eukaryota; Metazoa; Chordata; Aves; Passeriformes; Pipridae
Exons: 3
Source: RefSeq, a predicted model, not a curated record
UCAGGUCAUCUGCUGAUCAGCAUGUGACUGAAUCAAGGACUGGAACAGAACAUAUUAUCAGCAAUGCUGUAUUCACAGUCUAUUUGAAGAUAAGCAGAUGGGUACCAUGCUGGGAUUGUACCAAUGGUCCAUCUGCACCAGUCUGCAACUUCCUCACUAGCCAAAGUCAGACACAACCAGGAAAAAUACUGGAACUACACCAUAAUCAAGUGGAAAUGACCUCCUGGAGGACUUACUCUGGUUUCUAGGAGUCAAGCAGUGACUCUUGUUUCAGUCAGGAAAAAGAUGAUUGACUUUUACUUACUGUUGGAUCAGAAGUGAUAUAUUAAUAUGAAGGUACUCAGAAAAGAGUGUUUAUAGUGUCAACAUUUCUAAGAAGCCAAAACUUUCAAGGCUAUGUGAGUGCAAUGGCAUAUUUCUCUCUUAUUCAUUUGUUCUUCCUCGUGAAAAAACAACUUUGUAUAGCAGCAAUCAAAAACAAGGUGAAUUUUACAUUCACCAAAAUCAGACAGAUUUGGGAAGAAUGAAUUAGGGAACUGUGUUAGCUUUAACUCAAAAGAUUUUGUUUCUGAUGUCUUUAUCAUUUUAUUCUUGCAAAGGAAUUAAGAAGAUUAGCAGGUAAGAAAAGUAUCUGUGGAAAUGCUAGUCAGUAUAACUGCUUGAUGAACAUGAUACUUAUGGAAUAGAUAAGGAGCUUUCUGAUCUGCCGCUUACAAGAUUUACAAUUUGCAAACACUGUGGGGAGUACCAUUGAUUUAACUGGAUCUUCAAUGUUGAUGCAACAAACCAGUGCUAAAAACACUAAAAGUUCUGCUUGCGGAUAGCCCAGCCAUUUGACUCUGCUUGCUUUGCACCCACAGUUAAUUUUUAACACUGUGGGGACAAGCCAGUGACCCUGUGUUCUCGCUCAGGAAUGUCUGAGCAUUCACCAGCAAUCAGUUUGUACUUAAUGCCCACUAUACUGGAAUAUUUUGGUGUUUAAAGAUGCACCCAGUUCAAACUUUUUGGUAUUGCUGUCGACUUUUCAUUAGACAUCGAGCUCUGUGGAAUAUUGUUGCUUUGGAACCAAGGAUGCAUUGAGCUGUUAGAAAACUUUGUAAAAGCUAAAGAUCACUCAAGGAGGAAUUAAAUAGAUUUUUAUUAUAAUUUCUUAUUAAGUUUAAGAAACUGCUUUAAUGAAAUCAAGACGGAACACUUUGGAUGCUGUAAAAUUAUGAAUUUAGUUUGAAAUAACAACAGAAAUAUUUAAGAAUAAGUAAAUCAGGACAUUGUAGAAAUAUGAUUAAGACCUAUGCAAUUAGUAAUAAAACUGAAAAGAAAGACAUACUUAUUCCAAGUUUAAUUUAUUUGUGGCUAUCAAGUUUUAAUUAAAACAAAUCCUAUUUGCUGCAUAUUUACCAAUUUAUCAUACAAGAACCGCAAAGUGGAAUUAUAUUGGGUGAUUUAUUUUGUGGUUGUUUCUCUCUGCUUCUGUGUUCAUGUCUAAAUCAUGAAGAGAAAAUGAGAGCACUAGCAAAUUCCAAAUACUUUAUUUAAAACAAAAUGUGUAAUUGUUCAGAAAUAGGCUAUUGACUUUCACUGGGUUAAACAGCUCAUGUACUGAUUAGGCUUGAAGCUAUAAUUGUUCUUGUCACCCAAACUUUGCUCAGUCAAUAUCUUUUUAUCAUAUACAUUUUUAAUCACAUAUUAAUAAACAAGAAGGUGUGCUUUAUUGAUGGCUGGAUUAGUUUAUUGACCAACUCAACAACUCUCUAUAUGGUUUCUGAACACAGAAACAAGGUCAGUGUGUAAAGAUGAGGAAUAGUACAUUCACCAUCUUUAAUAUACUCCAAUCUGGUAGCGUACUCCCUUUCUUACAAGUGCUGCAAUCCAUAUAAUUUCUACAAUUAUUUUAUAAAAUAUUUCAUAUUUGAAACAAUCUCACUGUUCAAGCACAUCUUUGCUUGAGUUUCAGGAACUUUAGACUUCUAUGAGCUUCUCUAAUUUAACAUUGUUUGGUCACCUUGACACCAAGCUGUGUUAGUUUUUAAACCUUCCAGAAUUCAAAUUUUCAGAUACUUGUAGAUUCUCACCAAGUAUUCUUUAAGUACUUCCAUUGUUGGAAAA